UAGAGGAUGAACGCUAGCUACAGGCUUAACACAUGCAAGUCGAGGGGCAGCAUGUUGGUUGCUUGCAACCAAUGAUGGCGACCGGCGCACGGGUGAGUAACGCGUAUCCAACCUUCCGCAUAGUAGGGAAUAGCCCGGCGAAAGUCGGAUUAAUGCCCUAUGUUUUCCAUUGAGGACAUCUGAGCUGGAACAAAGAUUUAUCGCUAUGCGAUGGGGAUGCGUCUGAUUAGGUAGUCGGCGGGGUAACGGCCCACCGAGCCUACGAUCAGUAGGGGUUCUGAGAGGAAGGUCCCCCACAUUGGUACUGAGACACGGACCAAACUCCUACGGGAGGCAGCAGUGAGGAAUAUUGGUCAAUGGACGAGAGUCUGAACCAGCCAAGUAGCGUGCAGGAAGACUGCCCUAUGGGUUGUAAACUGCUUUUAUAGGGGGAAUAAAGUGGAGGCACGUGUGCCUUUUUGUAUGUACCCUAUGAAUAAGGACCGGCUAAUUCCGUGCCAGCAGCCGCGGUAAUACGGAAGGUCCGGGCGUUAUCCGGAUUUAUUGGGUUUAAAGGGAGCGCAGGCGGAAGGUUAAGCGUGACGUGAAAUGUACCGGCUCAACCGGUGAAUUGCGUCGCGAACUGGCUUUCUUGAGUGAGUACGACGGAGCCGGAAUUCGUGGUGUAGCGGUGAAAUGCUUAGAUAUCACGAAGAACGCCGAUUGCGAAGGCAGUCUCCGAGUCCUUAACUGACGCUAAUGCUCGAAAGUGCGGGUAUCGAACAGGAUUAGAUACCCUGGUAGUCCGCACGGUAAACG
RNAcentral lists this ribosomal RNA (798 nucleotides) under uncultured bacterium. Its description in RNAcentral is "bacterial SSU rRNA". It matches the Rfam family "Bacterial small subunit ribosomal RNA", at positions 23 to 808 of the family's 1533-position model. The record is from RNAcentral.